UCUACCAUCAUCAAUGCUGCUGCAAAAUCUUGGUGAAAAAUUAAUCCAGCAACACUGGAUUUUUUUUUGGCCAUUCAGUGACUGCAUUUGUGUGUUUGAAGGUUAAAUGUGCUGCUUGAUCGAUGCUACGCAACAACGACCCCACAUCCUCUGAACAGCACCUUCUAUGAUCUUUUUGUUGGGUGUCACUAUGAUGAGCAGACAAUGGUGGACCUGAAUGGAGUUUCACAAGAAGCUCGUUUCUCCUUUGAGGUCUUUCGUUUCCUCGAGCAUCAGAACAUCAGCAUCUCCACCUUCUACCUGCACUGCGUCACACGACUGUGUGAGAAUUCCACCUGUUCCUCCAUGCUACCGAACUGCGAGGCCAAGGUGAAAAGGGAGGUUCAGGCCAGUCAGGACUCAAACAAAGUCAAAACUGUCUCCUCAGGACCAAUCAGGACAAACGUGAACAACGGUGAAGCUCUAGAAUCAUCCAAUCAAUUCGACUCUUAUCCUUCUGAAAGCAGUUCUGCAGGAACUGUAGCAACAGCUGCUAUACUGACCUGCCUGCUGAGCAUCUGCACGUCUGGCCUGGUUGUGUUUAUACUGGUUUAUAAGAAGUAUAAUGUUUUCUCCAUUAUUAGUUAAUGAACAGCUUGGACCUUUUUUUACAACUAUCUACACAACAGUACCGUGGGGGAACUGUGUUCCUUUCAGUUUUCCUGAAAUAAUAUUAAUAAUAAUAAUAAAAAUCAGGUUAUUCUGCCUUUGCA
RNAcentral lists this long non-coding RNA (752 nucleotides) under Astyanax mexicanus (Mexican tetra). RNAcentral's name for it is "lncRNA (ENSAMXG00005013091.1)". The record is from RNAcentral. Lineage: Eukaryota; Metazoa; Chordata; Actinopteri; Characiformes; Acestrorhamphidae.